UACAUCCUACGGGAGGCAGCAGUGGGGGAUAUUGCACAAUGGGGGAAACCCUGAUGCAGCGACGCCGCGUGGGUGAAGAAGCGCCUCGGCGCGUAAAGCCCUGUCAGCAGGGAAGAAAAUGACGGUACCUGAAGAAGAAGCCCCGGCUAACUACGUGCCAGCAGCCGCGGUAAUACGUAGGGGGCAAGCGUUAUCCGGAUUUACUGGGUGUAAAGGGAGCGUAGACGGCGGU
Molecule: ribosomal RNA, 232 nt
Filed under: uncultured bacterium
Lineage: Bacteria
Description: partial 16S ribosomal RNA
Rfam family: Bacterial small subunit ribosomal RNA
Source: RNAcentral